This 72-nucleotide transfer RNA is filed under the name Momotus momota (Blue-crowned motmot). Its description in RNAcentral is "tRNA-Pro". The stretch from base 1 to 64 matches the Rfam family "tRNA". From Rfam's summary of the family: Transfer RNA (tRNA) molecules are approximately 80 nucleotides in length. Their secondary structure includes four short double-helical elements and three loops (D, anti-codon, and T loops). The record is from RNAcentral. Lineage: Eukaryota; Metazoa; Chordata; Aves; Coraciiformes; Momotidae.
AUAGUUUAAUGUAGAAUGCCAGCUUUGGGAGUUGGGGGUAGAGGUUUGAUUCCUCUUUUUCUGAUAGUGGUG